GCGGGUUUGAGCAAAUGGUUAAUGGUGCAAAGGAAAAUGAGAAUUUGGGUGAUGAGAUUUUGGAGGAUUUUGAAACAUACUGGGAAGAUGUUAAUGACCGCUUAAUGGUAUCAAGGAUGGUAAGUGACUCAGUGAUUAAGGGGAUAGUGAGUGCGGUGGAACAAGAGGCAGCUGAGAGACUAGUGACUAAGGAUAUGGAAUUAGCCAACUUGAAGGAAUAUUUGCAAUUUCAUGAAGGGGGUCUUAGCAAAACUGAACUUGAAUCUUUUGGGUCACUUAUGUCGCAGAAUGAGCUAGAAAGUAUGGAUUUUCGAAAAUGUAUGACUUUAUCAGAUGUUUUUAUGGAGCAUGGUAAGAU
Molecule: unclassified non-coding RNA, 358 nt
Filed under: Hevea brasiliensis (rubber tree)
Lineage: Eukaryota; Viridiplantae; Streptophyta; Magnoliopsida; Malpighiales; Euphorbiaceae
Source: RNAcentral